CCAGCUGCUGCCUAAUGGAGUCCAGGCGCUCGCGUCACAGGAAAUGCCUAUACUGCCCUCCUCACUCACUUCCGGUGGCAGGUCAAAAGAAUACAGCUCAAGGUGAUAGUAUGAAGCAGAUCUAUUUGGCAUCUGUAAGGCAUUGGAAGUUGCAUCUCUUGUGGAAGGAUCUAAUACCAUGAUCAGAAGAACUUUGGAUACGUCUUUUCACUGUGACGUUGCGGUAUACGCUUGACAAGUUUUGAAAAGAGAUUUUUCUACCGACUCUACCGACUAACAUUUCGUCUGUGAAGCCAGGAGUCUCCGUAAAGGUUAAAAAUAAUUCAGCUGUAUUGUGUUGAACUUGAUUGAAGUGUCGUGAACAGUGUCUGGAGGGCAGAAGAACCAGUUCUGUCUUGUUGCGAUGGGUUUAGUCUGUUUACUUUCCUGGUGCCCCGUCGCUGAAGCUGGGGCUGAGAGGCCUGCUGAGGAAUGUUUCUUCCGGAGUUCCGACAGGCUCAGCUAUUUGUCCCAGCCUCCGAAGCUGCUUGGCUACAGGCCCACACAAAGUGCUAUAAGAAUUCAGAGGACAGAGAGAACAUUUCUGGCAGUGGACAGAGUCCUGAGUGAGCACAGAACGCAUUAUGGAAUCUGGACAUGAGGUGAGUCUCAAAGGACUGGGAAUAUUUGUUAGGGAGCAAUUGAUGGAUGUGUGUUGGGGUGGGUGUCCUCACCGGGGGACAUGCCAGAUGAGGGGGUGGCAGGAGUCCCAGCUCAAGGGUUGAAAUGCCAGCCGGAGAGCAGACCUAUUUGGCCAAACCGUGAGAGAGUGAGAGGUAAGAUCAGAAAUGCAUAUGGGAUCAGUGGGUGGGAGCCAAGUAUCAACGGUCCUGUUCAUUAUUGGGAAUUUCUGAUGAUUUUGGAUGUUAUCAAAGAGAUGCUCUAGGGAGGUUAACAGAGAGAUGGUAUGCAAUGGUGGAGGGUG
Molecule: long non-coding RNA, 964 nt
Filed under: Physeter macrocephalus (sperm whale)
Lineage: Eukaryota; Metazoa; Chordata; Mammalia; Artiodactyla; Physeteridae
Description: Physeter catodon (sperm whale) lncRNA (ENSPCTG00005000622.1)
Source: RNAcentral